This 67-nucleotide transfer RNA is filed under the name Schistosoma mansoni. The record is from RNAcentral. Lineage: Eukaryota; Metazoa; Platyhelminthes; Trematoda; Strigeidida; Schistosomatidae.
UCAGUGGCCGAAUGGAUAACGCAAUGGCAUUUGAAGCGAAAGGUACUGGGUUCGAGUCCCAGAGUGA